UUCUAGGGCCACAUCACCCUGAACACUCCCCAACGUGCCAGAUCUCGUCUGACCCCGGAAACUAAGCAGAGUUAAGCCUGGUUGGGACUUAUAUGGGAGAUCGCCUGGGAAUACUGGGUGCUGUAGGCU
RNAcentral lists this ribosomal RNA (129 nucleotides) under Sapajus apella (tufted capuchin). The record is from RNAcentral. Lineage: Eukaryota; Metazoa; Chordata; Mammalia; Primates; Cebidae. RNAcentral also lists the same sequence under 1 other name.